This 75-nucleotide transfer RNA is filed under the name Actinomycetes bacterium. RNAcentral's name for it is "tRNA-Arg". It matches the Rfam family "tRNA". From Rfam's summary of the family: Transfer RNA (tRNA) molecules are approximately 80 nucleotides in length. Their secondary structure includes four short double-helical elements and three loops (D, anti-codon, and T loops). RNAcentral also lists the same sequence under 2 other names. The record is from RNAcentral. Lineage: Bacteria; Bacillati; Actinomycetota; Actinomycetes.
GCCCUCGUAGCUCAGUGGAUAGAGCAUCGGCCUCCGGAGCCGUGUGCACAGGUUCGAAUCCUGUCGAGGGCGCCA